AAGUCGUAACAAGGUUUCCGUAGGUGAACCUGCGGAAGGAUCAUUAUCACGUAAUAAUCCACGUAUCAACCUUUUUUAAGUGAACUGUUUGCGCCACUACACAUUUUUUUUAAUGUAGCUUUUCUUUGGUUUAAUAUUAGUGUGUGUGUGUGUGUGAUGUUGGUUUAUUGUUUACAAUAACCCCUCACACUCACCACAUUAUUAUUAUUAAAACAAGAUUUGCUUUAUUUAAAAAAGUGUGUAUGUAUUUAUUUUAUUUCUUUUUAAACCAAUUGAACCAUACCACUUUUAAGAUUUAUGAACUGAUUUAACGAAAGUCAAAAAAGAUUGAAAAGUCUUUUAUUUGACUUAGUUCCGUUAUUUACAUACGAAAACACUAGAACAACUCUUAGCAACGGAUAUCUUGGCUCUC
RNAcentral lists this unclassified non-coding RNA (412 nucleotides) under fungal sp. RNAcentral describes it as "partial internal transcribed spacer region". The stretch from base 1 to 46 matches the Rfam family "Eukaryotic small subunit ribosomal RNA", at positions 1786 to 1831 of the family's 1831-position model. The record is from RNAcentral. Lineage: Eukaryota; Fungi.